GAUGAACGCUGGCGGCGUGCCUAAUACAUGCAAGUCGAGCGAACGGACGAGAAGCUUGCUUCUCUGAUGUUAGCGGCGGACGGGUGAGUAACACGUGGAUAACCUACCUAUAAGACUGGGAUAACUUCGGGAAACCGGAGCUAAUACCGGAUAAUAUUUUGAACCGCAUGGUUCAAAAGUGAAAGACGGUCUUGCUGUCACUUAUAGAUGGAUCCGCGCUGCAUUAGCUAGUUGGUAAGGUAACGGCUUACCAAGGCAACGAUGCAUAGCCGACCUGAGAGGGUGAUCGGCCACACUGGAACUGAGACACGGUCCAGACUCCUACGGGAGGCAGCAGUAGGGAAUCUUCCGCAAUGGGCGAAAGCCUGACGGAGCAACGCCGCGUGAGUGAUGAAGGUCUUCGGAUCGUAAAACUCUGUUAUUAGGGAAGAACAUAUGUGUAAGUAACUGUGCACAUCUUGACGGUACCUAAUCAGAAAGCCACGGCUAACUACGUGCCAGCAGCCGCGGUAAUACGUAGGUGGCAAGCGUUAUCCGGAAUUAUUGGGCGUAAAGCGCGCGUAGGCGGUUUUUUAAGUCUGAUGUGAAAGCCCACGGCUCAACCGUGGAGGGUCAUUGGAAACUGGAAAACUUGAGUGCAGAAGAGGAAAGUGGAAUUCCAUGUGUAGCGGUGAAAUGCGCAGAGAUAUGGAGGAACACCAGUGGCGAAGGCGACUUUCUGGUCUGUAACUGACGCUGAUGUGCGAAAGCGUGGGGAUCAAACAGGAUUAGAUACCCUGGUAGUCCACGCCGUAAACGAUGAGUGCUAAGUGUUAGGGGGUUUCCGCCCCUUAGUGCUGCAGCUAACGCAUUAAGCACUCCGCCUGGGGAGUACGACCGCAAGGUUGAAACUCAAAGGAAUUGACGGGGACCCGCACAAGCGGUGGAGCAUGUGGUUUAAUUCGAAGCAACGCGAAGAACCUUACCAAAUCUUGACAUCCUUUGACAACUCUAGAGAUAGAGCCUUCCCCUUCGGGGGACAAAGUGACAGGUGGUGCAUGGUUGUCGUCAGCUCGUGUCGUGAGAUGUUGGGUUAAGUCCCGCAACGAGCGCAACCCUUAAGCUUAGUUGCCAUCAUUAAGUUGGGCACUCUAAGUUGACUGCCGGUGACAAACCGGAGGAAGGUGGGGAUGACGUCAAAUCAUCAUGCCCCUUAUGAUUUGGGCCACACACGUGCUACAAUGGACAAUACAAAGGGCAGCGAAACCGCGAGGUCAAGCAAAUCCCAUAAAGUUGUUCUCAGUUCGGAUUGUAGUCUGCAACUCGACUACAUGAAGCUGGAAUCGCUAGUAAUCGUAGAUCAGCAUGCUACGGUGAAUACGUUCCCGGGUCU
This 1372-nucleotide ribosomal RNA is filed under the name uncultured bacterium. RNAcentral describes it as "bacterial SSU rRNA". It matches the Rfam family "Bacterial small subunit ribosomal RNA", at positions 28 to 1381 of the family's 1533-position model. The record is from RNAcentral.